Small nuclear RNA from Camelus dromedarius (Arabian camel), 107 nucleotides. The record is from Ensembl. NCBI's taxonomy places the organism in Eukaryota, Metazoa, Chordata, Mammalia, Artiodactyla, Camelidae.
GUGCUUGCUUUGGCAGCACAUAUAUUAAAAUUGAAGCAAUACAGAGAAGGUUAGCAUGGCUCCUGCGCAAGGAUGACAUGCAAGUUUGUGAAUCGUUCUGUAUUUAA